UACGGAGGGUGCGAGCGUUGGCCGGAAUCACUGGGCGUAAAGGGCGCGUAGGCGGCAGGCCAAGCGUGCGGUGAAAGUCCGGGGCUCAACCCCGGAUCUGCCGUGCGGACUGGUUUGCUAGAGCACUGUAGAGGCGAGUGGAAUUCCGGGUGUAGCGGUGGAAUGCGUAGAGAUCCGGAAGAACACCGGUGGCGAAGGCGGCUCGCUGGGCAGUGGCUGACGCUGAGGCGCGACAGCGUGGGGAGCAAACAGG
RNAcentral lists this ribosomal RNA (253 nucleotides) under uncultured bacterium. Its description in RNAcentral is "partial 16S ribosomal RNA". It matches the Rfam family "Bacterial small subunit ribosomal RNA", at positions 524 to 776 of the family's 1533-position model. The record is from RNAcentral.